AUGGACAUACCCGGGGAACAAGGAACCUCAGCUAAGAAGUUGCCUCAUCAGAUUGGCCAAUUUGGCUGUAUUGGGCACCUGGUUACCAGGGCUGCCUUCUGCUCUGCACUUGGCAAAGUGGAAGUUGUUGCCAUCAACGACCCCUUCACUGACCUCAACUACAUGGUCUACACAGUACGACUCCACCCAUGGCAAAUUCAACGGCAUAGUCAAGGCCGAGAAUGGGAAGCUUGUAAUCAAUGGGAAGCCCAUCACCAGCUUCCAGGAGCAAGAUCCCACUAACAUCAGAUGGGGUGAUGCCGGUGCUGAGUAUGUCGUGGAGUCUACUGGAAUCUUCACCACCAUGGAGAAGGCUGGGGCCCAUGUGAAGGGGGGGGCCAGAAGGGUCAUCACCUCCACCCCUUCUGCUGAUGCCCCCAUGUUUGUGAUGGGUGUGAACCAUGAGAAAUAUGGCAACUCACUCAAGAUUGUCAGCAACGCAUCCUGCACCACCAACUGCUUAGCCCCCUUGGCCAAGGUCAUCCAUGACAACUUUGGCAUUGUGGAAGGACUCAUGACCAUGAUCCAUGCCAUCCUUGCCACUCAGAAGACUGUGGAUGGCCCCUCUGGAAAGCUGUGGUGUGAUGGCCGUGGGGCUGCCCAGAACAUCAUCUCUGCAUCCACUGAUGCUGCCAAGGCUGUAGGCAAGGUCAUCCCAGAGCUGAACAGGAAGCUCACUGGCAUGGCCUUCCGUGUUCCUACCCCCAAUGUAUCCAUUGUGGAUCUGACGUGCCGCCUGGAGAAACUUGCCAAAUAUGAUGACAUCAAGAAGCCAUAA
RNA transcript from Mus pahari (shrew mouse), 817 nucleotides. It is a transcript of the gene named glyceraldehyde-3-phosphate dehydrogenase-like, with no coding region annotated. The transcript is spliced from 3 exons. The record is from RefSeq and is a predicted model, not a curated record. Lineage: Eukaryota; Metazoa; Chordata; Mammalia; Rodentia; Muridae.